This 248-nucleotide long non-coding RNA is filed under the name Lathyrus oleraceus (garden pea). RNAcentral describes it as "Pisum sativum (pea) long non-coding RNA (PSAT_LNC027434)". Lineage: Eukaryota; Viridiplantae; Streptophyta; Magnoliopsida; Fabales; Fabaceae. The record is from RNAcentral.
AAAUGGAAAAGUUGGAGUUAAUUCGUUUAUAGUUGAAGAUGUGCAACUUGUUAUAGGCCUGCUAUGAUUCUGUCUAUAUAUCAAAUGCAACUAUGUUGAAAAGUAUAAGAUGAUACAAAUGAAACAUUAUAGUUGAAUAAAUCAAAAUUAAAACGUUAACCAUCAUGGUUAUACAUGGAUCUGAAAAGUCAACCAAAAGUACUACCUAUCUUCAAAAACUAUACAAGUUUAUAAUUGCUGUAACUAAG